Long non-coding RNA from Apis dorsata (giant honeybee), 1882 nucleotides. RefSeq lists it as uncharacterized. The record is from RefSeq and is a predicted model, not a curated record. NCBI's taxonomy places the organism in Eukaryota, Metazoa, Arthropoda, Insecta, Hymenoptera, Apidae. The transcript is spliced from 2 exons.
CUACAACUUAAUUCAAUCAUAUAGCAAAGAAGGGAAAAAAAAUCAAUAUAAUUUCUGUAAAUCAUACUAAAGAUCACAUCAUCAAAGAGUCCUCAAGAUCUCUUGUCAAGAUUGACCUCGUGACAUAGGCUGCGCCAUAAUCCACUCUAGUUCUAAUCGUGGCGAUUUCGCGAAGAAGACUGUACUUGACACCCAGCUCGACAAAUUAAUUAUGCAUUCUAUCAAGAGGAGCAAGAAAGCAAGCGAACGAGCGGAGAAUGGCGAAUUGGAGGAAGAGGGAAAAGGAAGACACGUGCAAAAAGAAGGAAAAUAAAAGGAAGCUAUCUAAAGGAUCCAAAGUUUUCACCACUUCCUUUGGUUGAAAAUCGUGUUAUUCGAGGAAGUUAAACGAGGGUGAAUAACAUUUUAAUUGCCUCGAUCAAAUUAGACGUUUGUUCUCGUCGCGAGUUGAACAAUAAAAGUGGUGUGUGUUCGAGUUUAUGGUGUGCUGCUGUUUAAAUUUUCUGUGGAGAAUGCAUGUUAAUGGAACUAUUUUGAUUUGGUUGGCUUCAAUUGGUUAAUUUGGAUAGAAUAGAGGAAUUUUAUGAGGAUGUAUAAGUUAUUAGGUGUUGGAGAAUUUAUGUGUUAUGAAAGCCGCAUUAAUUAAGAAACAGCAAGGGGUUCCUUACGUGACGCGCAAAGAUGAAACAACCCGCUGUUUUCAAUCAAAAACAAAUCAUCCCGAGAAGGCGUAAUUAAAUUUGAAAAGAACUAAGGUAAAGUUUCAGUUACCCACGCUGUUCGAAUUAUAACAACGCAUACAAAAUUUGCUUAUUUUAUUCUCUUAUUUCGCAAAACGAAAAUUUAAUUGUAACAGCAAAUUAAUGAUACAAAAUGCUGUUUUUCAAUCUUAAAAGAUAAAUAUCGUAGAAGAAAUCUUUCACCGAUAAUAUCUAUACUAUCCUGUUGUGUUUAUGUUUAUGAAUCAGUAUGCAAAUGAAAUACUGAAUUUCACUUGGCCAUACAAACUUCUCUUGGUAUUUAAUAGAACUUUUAAUUAUAUUACUCGGCGUACAGAAAUUUCAAAGUUACUUAUCGUAAAUUAUAUUAUGGAAAUAUCGAAAAGAAAACAUUCAGGGCUUAAAAAUUUAAAAGAAUAUCAAUAUUUAAAAUAAAGAUACAAAAGAAUCUAUUAUUAUACGUGGAACUUUAUUUUAAAAACUAUCUCAAGUUCAAUAAUCUAAUUUUAUUUAUUAAAAAUUAUAAAUUUCGUUACAUGUAUUAAUAUUCCUACAUCAACGAAUCAAACACAAUAAGAUUAAAAAAAAAAAGUUAGUCGAAGCAAGGCGCCUCUUUGUGUCGCCUUCAUCAGUUCCACACGCCAUAAAAAUGAAAAAAUAAAAUAAAAAAAAAAAACUCUUACCAAACUAUCACAUCGAAGAGGAUUAAAAGAACAGAUGUACGAGCCACGACUAAUUACACGCCGAUAACUGGGAGAAGAAGGCCCGCAGGGAAUAAAAGAGGCCGAAACACGCGAUUAAUUUAUUAUUCGAACACGGUCGAAUUAAUUUAUUAUUCGAACACGAAACGAAUCUUUGCCGAUGACGAGGCUGCCGUAGGAAAAAAAAGCACGACGCUUGAAAAAUUAAUUAUGCAUGCAAUCCCGGCUUGCAAAAAGGUGUGACACACGUAGAUGCACGCAAAAAUUGAACGAGGAUUCUACUCGACGAGUAGAAUGGAUGUUGGAUAAGAAAAGAACGAUGUGGAAAGAAAAGGACGAAGGAUGGUAGGAAGGAAUGGUAAAAAGAUAGAGAUUGAGAUCGUGCAAGGAAUAUGGAAGAAAGUUGAGGAAGAUUUUCUCUUAUACUAAUUCGAGAUUAUUUUAUUAUUUAUCUUCUAUAAU